Octopus sinensis (East Asian common octopus) is the source of this 127-nucleotide long non-coding RNA. RefSeq lists it as uncharacterized. The record is from RefSeq and is a predicted model, not a curated record. Lineage: Eukaryota; Metazoa; Mollusca; Cephalopoda; Octopoda; Octopodidae. The transcript has 3 exons.
AUAUAUAUAUAUAUAUAUACAUGUCUGGGUGAGCAGUGCCCUCUCCAAAUGGAGCUGCUCAGACACCCAUGCAGCAACCGAAUCCUACCGCUGUCUUGGGCUACAAGGAGACGACUUUAUAUCUAGC